Molecule: ribosomal RNA, 118 nt
Filed under: Lates calcarifer (barramundi perch)
Lineage: Eukaryota; Metazoa; Chordata; Actinopteri; Centropomidae
Source: RNAcentral
GCUUACGGCCACACCACCCUGAGCGCGCCCAUCUCGUCUGAUCUCGGAAGCUAAGCAGGGUCGGGCCUGGUUAGUACUUGGAUGGGAGACCGCCUGGGAAUACCAGGUGCCGUAAGCU